AACCCCUAUCUUUAGUUGCCAUCAGUUCGGCUGGGCACUCUAUGGAGACUGCCACCUAAAGUGGAGGAAGUGGGGAUGACGUCAAGUCAGCAUGGCCCUUACGUCCGGGGCUACACACGUGCUACAAUGGCCGGUACAAAGGGUUGCGAAGCCGUGAGGUGGAGCGAAUCUCAAAAAGCCGGCCUCAGUUCGGAUUGGAGGCUGCAACUCGCCUCCAUGAAGUCGGAAUCGCUAGUAACCGCAGAUCAGCUACGUUGCGGUGAAUACGUUCCCGGGCCUU
This 280-nucleotide ribosomal RNA is filed under the name uncultured Geobacter sp. Its description in RNAcentral is "partial 16S ribosomal RNA". It matches the Rfam family "Bacterial small subunit ribosomal RNA", at positions 1100 to 1382 of the family's 1533-position model. Lineage: Bacteria; Pseudomonadati; Thermodesulfobacteriota; Desulfuromonadia; Geobacterales; Geobacteraceae. The record is from RNAcentral.